This 77-nucleotide non-coding RNA is filed under the name Alcaligenes faecalis subsp. faecalis NCIB 8687. Its description in RNAcentral is "Burkholderiales-2 RNA". It matches the Rfam family "Burkholderiales-2 RNA". The record is from RNAcentral. Lineage: Bacteria; Pseudomonadati; Pseudomonadota; Betaproteobacteria; Burkholderiales; Alcaligenaceae.
GCAGAGCCACAACCAUGCUUGUGGGUGCCAUUGAUGCCGGACGAACACCCCGCAUAGGUGGGGUGAGCAACAUCGGC